This 685-nucleotide ribosomal RNA is filed under the name Coprinellus radians. RNAcentral's name for it is "LSU rRNA". It matches the Rfam family "Eukaryotic large subunit ribosomal RNA", at positions 25 to 694 of the family's 3401-position model. Lineage: Eukaryota; Fungi; Basidiomycota; Agaricomycetes; Agaricales; Psathyrellaceae. The record is from RNAcentral.
CCGAUAAAAUUAAGCAUAUCAAUAAGCGGAGGAAAAGAAACUAACAAGGAUUCCCCUAGUAACUGCGAGUGAAGCGGGAAAAGCUCAAAUUUAAAAUCUGGCGGUCCUUGGCCGUCCGAGUUGUAAUCUAGAGAAGUGUUACCCGCGUCGGACCGUGUACAAGUCUCCUGGAAUGGAGCGUCAUAGAGGGUGAGAAUCCCGUCUUUGACACGGACUACCGAGGCUUUGUGGUGCGCUCUCAAAGAGUCGAGUUGUUUGGGAAUGCAGCUCAAAAUGGGUGGUAAAUUCCAUCUAAAGCUAAAUAUUGGCGAGAGACCGAUAGCGAACAAGUACCGUGAGGGAAAGAUGAAAAGAACUUUGGAAAGAGAGUUAAACAGUACGUGAAAUUGCUGAAAGGGAAACGCUUGAAGUCAGUCGCGUCGUCCGGGAAUCAGCCUUCCUUCUGGUUGGUGUACUUCCUGGUUGACGGGCCAGCAUCAGUUUUGACCGGUGGAAAAAGUUCGAGGGAAUGUGGCACCUCCGGGUGUGUUAUAGCCCUCGUUCGUAUACAUCGGUUGGGACUGAGGAACUCAGCACGCCGCAAGGCCGGGAUUCGUCCACGUUCGUGCUUAGGAUGCUGGCAUAAUGGCUUUAAUCGACCCGUCUUGAAACACGGACCAAGGAGUCUAACAUGCCUGCGAUGUUU